Molecule: ribosomal RNA, 758 nt
Filed under: uncultured bacterium
Lineage: Bacteria
Description: bacterial SSU rRNA
Rfam family: Bacterial small subunit ribosomal RNA
Source: RNAcentral
AUACAUUUGAUGGCGACCGGCAAACGGGUGCGGAACACGUACACAACCUUCCUAUAAGUGGGGAAUAGCCCAGAGAAAUUUGGAUUAAUACCCCGUAACAUAAUGAUGUGGCAUCAUAUUAUUAUUAUAGCUUCGGCGCUUAUUGAUGGGUGUGCGGCUGAUUAGAUAGUUGGCGGGGUAACGGCCCACCAAGUCUACGAUCAGUAGCUGAUGUGGGAGCAUGAUCAGCCACACGGGCACUGAGGCACGGGCCCGACUCCUACGGGAGGCAGCAGUAAGGAAUAUUGGUCAAUGGACGCAAGUCUGAACCAGCCAUGCCGCGUGAAGGAUUAAGGUCCUCUGGAUUGUAAACUUCUUUUAUCUGGGACGAAAAAAGGCGAUUCUUCGUCACUUGACGGUACCAGAUGAAUAAGCACCGGCUAACUCCGUGCCAGCAGCCGCGGUAAUACGGAGGGUGCAAGCGUUAUCCGGAUUCACUGGGUUUAAAGGGUGCGUAGGCGGGCAGGUAAGUCAGUGGUGAAAUCCUGGAGCUUAACUCCAGAACUGCCAUUGAUACUAUCUGUCUUGAAUAUUGUGGAGGUAAGCGGAAUAUGUCAUGUAGCGGUGAAAUGCUUAGAUAUGACAUAGAACACCUAUUGCGAAGGCAGCUUACUACGCAUAUAUUGACGCUGAGGCACGAAAGCGUGGGGAUCAAACAGGAUUAGAUACCCUGGUAGUCCACGCCCUAAACGAUGGAUACUCGACAUACGCGAUACACU